Molecule: small RNA, 1010 nt
Filed under: Pongo abelii (Sumatran orangutan)
Lineage: Eukaryota; Metazoa; Chordata; Mammalia; Primates; Hominidae
Description: retained intron
Source: RNAcentral
AAAGACCUCCCAGCAGAAGAGGAGAGGAGGUUGUGUAGGACAAGCUGCUCCCGACAGAAGGAUGUCGCUGCUGAGCCUGCCCUGGCUGGGCCUCAGACCGGUGGCAACGUCCCCAUGGCUACUCCUGCUGCUGGUUGUGGGCUCCUGGCUACUCGCCCGUGUCCUGGCUUGGACCUAUGCCUUCUAUAACAACUGCCGUCGGCUCCAGUGUUUCCCACAGCCCCCAAAACGGAACUGGUUUUGGGGUCACCUGGGCCUGAUCACUCCUACAGAGGAGGGCUUGAAGAACUCGACCCAGAUGUCGGCCACCUAUUCCCAGGGCUUUACGAUAUGGCUGGGUCCCAUCAUCCCCUUCAUCGUUUUAUGCCACCCUGACACCAUCCGGUCUAUCACCAAUGCCUCAGCUGCCAUUGCGCCCAAGGAUGAUCUCUCCAUCAGGUUCCUGAAGCCCUGGCUGGGAGAAGGGAUACUGCUGAGUGGCGGUGACAAGUGGAGCCGCCACCGUCGGAUGCUGACGCCCGCCUUCCAUUUCAACAUCCUGAAGUCCUAUAUAACGAUCUUCAACAAGAGUGCAAACAUCAUGCUUGUGAGUCCCUUGAACUCGGUCCCAGCUGGAGUCUUGGGGUGGAGGGACCAUGGACACAUCUGGUCUGGAAUUUUGGCUCUUCUGGGUGGCACUGGGCCAUUGCUCUUCCUCUCUGAGCCUUGGUUUUCUCAUCUGCAAAAUGGGGAUGAUAAUCCCUACUUAAAAGAGCAUUUACUUGGCACACAGUAGGUUCUCAGAAGGUGUUAGUUUCUGUGUUUUUCUCACAGAAUCCCUGUAAACUCAAGAGAGUAAAAAUGAAGAUUGCGUAGUAGUCAUUGCUGAUUACAAACCACUUCAGAACUCACUGGCUUAGAGCAAUAAGGGUUUACGAUUGCUAACGAGUCUGUGAGACAGCUGGCCAGUUCUUCUGGAUGUGGAAGGGAUCACUCUUGGCACAUGAGCAGCUGUGGGUCAGGCGGGCAGC